RNAcentral lists this ribosomal RNA (604 nucleotides) under uncultured Candidatus Saccharibacteria bacterium. Its description in RNAcentral is "bacterial SSU rRNA". It matches the Rfam family "Bacterial small subunit ribosomal RNA", at positions 35 to 669 of the family's 1533-position model. Lineage: Bacteria; Candidatus Saccharimonadota. The record is from RNAcentral.
GCUGGCGGCGUGCCUAAUACAUGCAAGUCGAGCGGUAACAUGGACUUCGGUCUGAUGACGAGCGGCGAACGGCUGAGUAACGCGUGGGAACGUGCCCCAAAGUGAGGAAUAAGCACCGGAAACGGUGUCUAAUGCCGCAUAUGAUCUUCGGAUUAAAGGAUUUAUCCGCUUUGGGAGCGGCCCGCGUAUGAUUAGUUUGUUGGUGAGGUAAUGGCUCACCAAGACUACGAUCAUUAGCUGGUCUGAGAGGAUGAUCAGCCAGACUGGAACUGAGACACGGUCCAGACUCCUACGGGAGGCAGCAGUAAGGAAUCUUCCACAAUGGGGGAAACCCUGAUGGAGCAACGCCGCGUGAAGGAUGAAGGCCCUCGGGUCGUAAACUUCUUUUAUAAGUGAAGAAUAUGACGGUAACUUAUGAAUAAGCACCGGCUAACUACGUGCCAGCAGCCGCGGUCAUACGUAGGGUGCAAGCAUUAUCCGGAGUGACUGGGCGUAAAGAGUUGCGUAGGUGGUUAGUAAAGUGAAUAGUGAAACCUGGUGGCUCAACCAUACAGACUAUUAUUCAAACUCACUAACUCGAGAGUGGUAGAGGUAACUGGAAUUU